GGUGAUAUGGAUCAAUUGGUAGAGUGCCAGCCUAGCAAGCUUGAAGUCCUGCGUUCAAAUUCCAGUACCACCA
This 73-nucleotide transfer RNA is filed under the name Dipodomys ordii (Ord's kangaroo rat). It matches the Rfam family "tRNA". Rfam says of the family: Transfer RNA (tRNA) molecules are approximately 80 nucleotides in length. The record is from Rfam by way of RNAcentral. Lineage: Eukaryota; Metazoa; Chordata; Mammalia; Rodentia; Heteromyidae.